UACGGAGGAUGCAAGCGUUAUCCGGAAUGAUUGGGCGUAAAGCGUCCGCAGGUGGCAAUGUAAGUCUGCUGUUAAAGAGUCUAGCUCAACUAGAUACAAGCAGUGGAAACUACAUAGCUAGAGUACGUUCGGGGCAGAGGGAAUUCCUGGUGUAGCGGUGAAAUGCGUAGAGAUCAGGAAGAACACCGGCGGCGAAGGCGCUCUGCUAGGCCGUAACUGACACUGAGGGACGAAAGCUAGGGGAGCGAAUGGG
Molecule: ribosomal RNA, 253 nt
Filed under: uncultured bacterium
Lineage: Bacteria
Description: partial 16S ribosomal RNA
Rfam family: Bacterial small subunit ribosomal RNA
Source: RNAcentral